This 327-nucleotide long non-coding RNA is filed under the name Elaeis guineensis (African oil palm). RNAcentral's name for it is "long non-coding RNA (EGUI_LNC066753)". Lineage: Eukaryota; Viridiplantae; Streptophyta; Magnoliopsida; Arecales; Arecaceae. The record is from RNAcentral.
UGGUAUGGAUUUGUGGGUGAGUAGAUACAUAAAUAGAGUGUCUUGAUAUUCGAUUAGAGGAUUGAAAGAAUUUCAAUUGUAAUUAUGUAAGUUUUACUAGUUAUUAUUGAAAUUAGAUAUUAUGGAUGUUGAGGUUGUAAUGAAAUAUUUUUGGCCUUGCAUAUUCUUUAGGACUUAUUCUAAAAAAUAUGUGGCCAUCACGUACCCGACACGGGUGUUGGGUUCGAGGCAUGACAGUCUUGCUUCCUAAUUACCUCAAACAUACCCUAUCAUAAAUAUUAACCUUUAAGUUUGUUAUCAUAUUCAAAACGAUUACAUAACUUAGUG